Triticum urartu is the source of this 688-nucleotide non-coding RNA. The record is from RefSeq and is a predicted model, not a curated record. Lineage: Eukaryota; Viridiplantae; Streptophyta; Magnoliopsida; Poales; Poaceae.
GCGGCCGAAGCGCUCCCCUACCUGGGCUUCGCGACUCUGUGGGUCAUCUCCGCGGCCGCGGCUGCCAGGGUCGUGGGAAGCCGAGCCUGGGACGAGGGCUCCGCCUCCGCCGUGUUUCUCCAGGCACUCGCGGACGGGGCUCUCAAGGCCAGCUUCCUUGUCCUGCAAGCGCUUGGCACCGUGAUGCUGUGCGGCCAGUUCCUGCUCUACGUGGUUGCAGCUGUAUCUGGAUCCGGUUCAGAGUUCCACAAGAGAGCCCAUGGAGCUUUCAACCAGGAGUUGAUUAGGGGGGGUUCCUCCCCGCACCGCAGUCCUUGGAACAUUCGCUUCUACGCCCUUCAUCCUGCUAAUUUUAGCUGGUUCUCUGGUGCAAUGCAUGAUGUCGAAAAAGAUUGGUUUUGUGAUUGUGGAUGUGGGGAUAUUUGGCUCUAGUGCCAUACCUUGCUUUGUUGUCAUUCCAGCUGUAGUACUGAGUAACUGGAGGGAGGACCAGAUGUCAAAGAAAAACAUGACUCACGUUGCAGACUGUUGAGACAUAACACUGAAUGGAAGGUGUGAAGAUGGGCAAGGCAAAUUACAAGAGCUGACUCUUUGCUGAAGUUUAUGGCCGCUGAUGAGUUUUGGGUUAUAGUUACCUGUAGUCAUGACUGUAGAUUGGUCCACUAGUGUUUACUUGCUGCUGGGAGGU